RNAcentral lists this ribosomal RNA (700 nucleotides) under uncultured Glomerales. RNAcentral describes it as "LSU rRNA". It matches the Rfam family "Eukaryotic large subunit ribosomal RNA", at positions 38 to 633 of the family's 3401-position model. The record is from RNAcentral. Lineage: Eukaryota; Fungi; Glomeromycota; Glomeromycetes; Glomerales; Glomeraceae.
GCAUAUCAAUAAGCGGAGGAAAAGAAACUAACAAGGAUUCCCUUAGUAACGGCGAGUGAAGAGGGAAGAGCUCAAAUUUUAAAUCUAUCAUGUUUGUACAUGAUCGAAUUGUAAUUUGAAGAAGCGUUUUCUCGUACUUUAUGCAAUCAGUAUAAGUUCUCUUGGAACAGGACAUCAUAGAGGGUGAUAAUCCCGUCUGUUACUGGUUGUGAGGUUCGUUAUGAUACGCUUUCAAAGAGUCGAGUUGUUUGGGAUUGCAGCCCCAAAUGGGUGGUAAACAUCACCUAAGGCUAAAUAUUUGCGAGAGACCGAUAGCGAACAAGUACCGUGAGGGAAAGAUGAAAAGAACUUUGAAAAGAGAGUUAAAAAGUAUGUGAAAUUGUUGAAAGGGAAACGAUUGAAGUCAGUCGUGCAGUCAUCAAUUCAGCGGUUAACAUUUUUAUGUUUCCGUGUAAUUUGGUGUCUGUUGGUUAGCAUCAAUUUUGAUUGUUAUAAAAAGGUUAAGGGGAUGUGGCUCCUUCGGGAGUGUUAUAACCCUUAGCGUAAUGUGACGAUUAGGAUUGAGGUUUGCAACGAAUACCUUUUAGGGCAGUUUCCCUGGCCUCUCGUGGAAUUAUAGAUAGUUAAGAGCAUGCUUCUUACUGUCUAUGAUUCUACGAAAAGGUUAGUGUAAAACUAAUUCGUUAAGGAUGUUGACGUA